Oncorhynchus tshawytscha (Chinook salmon) is the source of this 2494-nucleotide long non-coding RNA. The record is from Ensembl. Lineage: Eukaryota; Metazoa; Chordata; Actinopteri; Salmoniformes; Salmonidae.
UCUGUUGUCUCCUUCUAUAGCCUGACCCCAGAUCUGUUGUCUCCUUCUAUAGCCUGACCCCAGAUCUGUUGUCUCCUUCUAUAGCCUGACCCCAGAUCGGUUUCUCCUUCUAUAGCCUGACCCCAGAUCUGUUGUCUCCUUCUAUAGCCUGACCCCAGAUCUGUUGUCUCCUUCUAUAGACUGACCCCAGAUCUGUUGUCUCCUUCUAUAGCCUGACCCCAGAUCUGUUGUCUCCUUCUAUAGCCUGACCCCAGAUCGGUUUUCUCCUUCUAUAGCCUGACCCCAGAUCUGUUGUCUCCUUCUAUAGCCUGACCUCAGAUCUAUUUUCUCCUUCUAUAGCCUGACCCCAGAUCUAUUUUCUCCUUCUAUAGACUGACCCCAGAUCUGUUGUCUCCUUCUAUAGCCUGACCCCAGAUCUGUUUUCAGUGUGACAGGGAGUUGGCAUGAUAGCACAAACAGACUGGCACUCAGGCUAGGGUCAUCAGUGUGACAGGGAGUUGGCAUGAUAGCACAAACAGACUGGCACUCAGGCUAGGGUCAUCAGUGUGACAGGGAGUUGGCAUGAUAGCACAAACUUCAUGCUGUGUGUCUAUAGCAGGGUUGGGCUCAAUUCCAUUUCAAAUCAGUCGAUUCAGGAAGUACAACUGAAAUUCCAAUUCUCCUUUUUUUUCAACUUUUUAAUGUGGAACAUUGGAAUGUGCAUUUCGGCUUUACCUCCUGAUUUGAAAUAGAAUUGCCCCCCCAGCCCUGGUUUACAAUGUCGUGGCCUGAACAGCACCUCAGAGGUCCAGCUGUGAAGUACAAGUCACUGUUCUCCUAUCAUCAAACCUGAAACAUAAAAAGACAAAUACUGUACAUCUGAUUUAUAAUCUACAGGUGGAUAUCUUUAGUCUCUAUUCUCCUAACAUCUGAUUUAUAAUCUACAGGUGGAUAUCUUUAGUCUCUAUUCUCCUAACAUCUGAUUAAUAAUCUACAGGUGGAUAUCUUUAGUCUCUAUUCUCCUAACAUCUGAUUUAUAAUCUACAGUCUCUAUUCUCCUAACAUCUGAUUUAUAAUCUACAGGUGGAUAUCUUUAGUCUCUAUUCUCCUAACAUCUUAUUUAUAAUCUACAGUCUCUAUUCUCCUAACAUCUGAAUUAUAAUCUACAGGCUCUAUUCUCCUAACAUCUGAAUUAUAAUCUACAGGUGGAUAUCUUUAGUCUCUAUUCUCCUAACAUCUGAUUUAUAAUCUACAGUCUCUAUUCUCCUAACAUCUGAUUUAUAAUCUACAGUCUCUAUUCUCCUAACAUCUUAUUUAUAAUCUACAGUCUCUAUUCUCCUAACACCUGAUUAAUAAUCUACAGUCUCUAUUCUCCUAACAUCUGAUUUAUAAUCUACAGGUGGAUAUCUUUAGUCUCUAUUCUCCUAACAUCUUAUUUAUAAUCUACAGUCUCUAUUCUCCAAACAUCUGAUUUAUAAUCUACAGGUGGAUAUCUUUAGUCUCUAUUCUCCUAACAUCUUAUUUAUAAUCUACAGUCUCUAUUCUCCAAACAUCUGAUUUAUAAUCUACAGUCUCUAUUCUCCAAACAUCUGAUUUAUAAUCUACAGUCUCUAUUCUCCUAACAUCUGAAUUAUAAUCUACAGGCUCUAUUCUACUAACAUUUUAUUUAUAAUCUACAGGCUCUAUUCUCCUAACAUCUGAAUUAUAAUCUACAGGUGGAUAUCUUUAGUCUCUAUUCUCCUAACAUCUGAUUAAUAAUCUACAGUCUCUAUUCUCCUAACAUCUGAUUUAUAAUCUACAGUCUCUAUUCUCCUAACAUCUGAUUUAUAAUCUACAGUCUCUAUUCUCCUAACAUCUGAAUUAUAAUCUACAGGUGGUUAUCUUUAGGCUCUAUUCUCCUAACAUCUGAUUUACAAUCUACAGUCUCUAUUCUCCUAACAUCUGAAUUAUAAUCUACAGGUGGUUAUCUUUAGGCUCUAUUCUCCUAACAUCUGAUUUACAAUCUACAGUCUCUAUUCUAACAUCUGAAUUAUAAUCUACAGGUGGUUAUCUUUAGGCUCUAUUCUCCUAACAUCUGAUUUAUAAUCUACAGUCUCUAUUCUCCUAACAUCUGAUUUACAAUCUACAGUCUCUAUUCUAACAUCUGAAUUAUAAUCUACAGUCUCUAUUCUAACAUCUGAAUUAUAAUCUACAGGUGGAUAUCUUUAGUCUCUAUUCUCCUAACAUCUGAUUCAUAAUCUACAGUCUCUAUUCUCCUAACAUCUGAUUUAUAAUCUACAGGUGGUUAUCUUUAGGCUCUAUUCUCCUAACAUCUGAUUUAUAAUCUACAGGUGGUUAUCUUUAGGCUCUCUUCUCCUUCGUCAGUCUGUGUCCCUCUGUUGAGUGUCUUCCUGGAGUUGUGUGUGUUGUCAGGGUUACUGGUCGAUUCCUCUGAACAGACACAUGGCAAACACCAUGGCAAACAGCUGAGAGAACAAGGGAGACAGUUUAGGAAGGGUUAGGAGGAUCACUGCAA